RNAcentral lists this ribosomal RNA (253 nucleotides) under uncultured bacterium. RNAcentral describes it as "partial 16S ribosomal RNA". It matches the Rfam family "Bacterial small subunit ribosomal RNA", at positions 524 to 776 of the family's 1533-position model. The record is from RNAcentral.
UACAGAGGGGGCUAGCGUUGUUCGGAAUCACUGGGUGUAAAGGGUGCGUAGGCUGUCCGUUAAGUCUGAUGUGAAAGCCCUGGGCUUAACCCUGGACCUGCAUCGGGUACGGGCAGACUAGAGUGCGGUAGGGGAGAUCGGAAUUCCUGGCGUAGCGGUGAAAUGCGCAGAUAUCAGGAGGAACACCGGUGGCGAAGGCGGAUCUCUGGGCCGUAACUGACGCUGAGGAGCGAAAGCAUGGGGAGCGAACAGG